UACGAAGGGGGCUAGCGUUGCUCGGAAUUACUGGGCGUAAAGCGCACGUAGGCGGCUUUCUAAGUCGGGGGUGAAAUCCUGGAGCUCAACUCCAGAACUGCCUUCGAUACUGGAGAGCUCGAGUCCGGGAGAGGUGAGUGGGACUGCGAGUGUAGAGGUGAAAUUCGUAGAUAUUCGCAAGAACACCAGUGGCGAAGGCGGCUCACUGGCCCGGUACUGACGCUGAGGUGCGAAAGCGUGGGGAGCAAACAGG
Molecule: ribosomal RNA, 253 nt
Filed under: uncultured bacterium
Lineage: Bacteria
Description: partial 16S ribosomal RNA
Rfam family: Bacterial small subunit ribosomal RNA
Source: RNAcentral